AGCGUAGGCAGUCAAGCAAGUCAGAGGUGAAAGGCAUCGGCUCAACCGAUGUAAGCCUUUGAAACUGUUUGACUUGAGUGCAGGAGAGGUAAGUGGAAUUCCUAGUGUAGCGGUGAAAUGCGUAGAUAUUAGGAGGAACACCAGUGGCGAAGGCGACUUACUGGACUGUAACUGACGCUGAGGCUCGAAAGCGUGGGGAGCGAACA
Molecule: ribosomal RNA, 206 nt
Filed under: uncultured bacterium
Lineage: Bacteria
Description: partial 16S ribosomal RNA
Rfam family: Bacterial small subunit ribosomal RNA
Source: RNAcentral